UGGCUCAGUUGGUAGAGCAUGGUGUGUGCAACACCAGGGUUGUGGGUUCAAUUCCCAU
RNAcentral lists this transfer RNA (58 nucleotides) under Salmo salar (Atlantic salmon). It matches the Rfam family "tRNA", at positions 8 to 63 of the family's 71-position model. Rfam says of the family: Transfer RNA (tRNA) molecules are approximately 80 nucleotides in length. Their secondary structure includes four short double-helical elements and three loops (D, anti-codon, and T loops). The record is from Rfam by way of RNAcentral. RNAcentral also lists the same sequence under 1 other name. Lineage: Eukaryota; Metazoa; Chordata; Actinopteri; Salmoniformes; Salmonidae.